RNAcentral lists this long non-coding RNA (1063 nucleotides) under Heterocephalus glaber (naked mole-rat). RNAcentral's name for it is "lncRNA (ENSHGLG00100044320.1)". Lineage: Eukaryota; Metazoa; Chordata; Mammalia; Rodentia; Bathyergidae. The record is from RNAcentral.
UGGGCUUUUGAACCUCAUUUUGAGAAACGCUUUUUUCAAGAUAUUCUUUUGUCCUCCAGUUAAACAGUAGAACGUGUGUUCUUGGUAUAAUAUUUUAAGAUGGUAAAAGCAGAAAUUUACAACUUUAUGAACAUUUUUAAACAAAUUUUACAUGACCUCAUUAGAUACCUUCUCUAUUCCCCUCAACAAAAUCUUAUCAGUUUUCUGCCAAUGAUAUCCAAAUGAUGAGCAUUUUUUUCUUUGAUGAGGUUUUCACCAUUAUCCAUGGUAGUCUUUUGUUUUUCAAUUUUUUAAGUAAUAAGAUUAACUAUAGUUUAUAGAGAACUGCAUUACAAAUGUUUUCAACUAUUUUUAUAGUAUUUAAGUGUUACAUCAGUUCUUUUCAUGUCAUAUAGAAAUUGUCUCAAAAUACUGUUUAGGGGAAUAAGUCAGUUUAUAGUCAGAAUGCUUGACAUUCUGAUGUUCUAAAAAAGUUUAUUUUGCAUAAUCCUGUAGUCAGAUCAUUUUAUGCAUAUGUACCUUGGGUUAAAUUUCAAGUACUGUGUUCAGUGCUGGUAUAUUUACUGUAUAAAUUUGUUUUGUUUUGAUUUCUGUCAUAUAGAACACGGCCUUGAUCAUCAUAAUGUAAUCUGUGUUAUCUUCUUUUUUCACAUUUACAGCCUUUAAAUAAAACAUUUAAUAUAAAUAAACAUUAGUUGGGUCAAAACUUUAUUACAACUAACAAAAAAUUUUGAUUAAGAAAACUGGAAAUUAUUUCACCUUACUGAUCCACAGGCACUAUUAUUCAGUUUCAAAUGUAACUUUGAUAAUUAAAACUAAACCAAAAGGCAUACUUAUGAAGAUCUUAAAUGCCCAUGAAAACUUGGAUUGGUCGUUAGUUGGUCCAAAGUACAUUAAUAAAGUUCCUAAACUGAAAAAAAAUUAUCAUGGCAAAUAUUACUGACAUUUUUCACAUAAUAUCAAAAUAUUUCAUAAUGAAAAAAACAGUGAUCCUGUCUUUAUACAUGACUAAAGCAGUUACUGUACUAAAUAGGAUAUCUAAAAUUAUAGUGCCACCUACAGG